GGAAUAUUGGUCAAUGGGCGUAAGCCUGAACCAGCCAAGUAGCGUGCAGGACGACGGCCCUAUGGGUUGUAAACUGCUUUUAUGCGGGGAUAAAGUGCGCCACGUGUGGUGUUUUGUAGGUACCGCAUGAAUAAGGACCGGCUAAUUCCGUGCCAGCAGCCGCGGUAAUACGGAAGGUCCGGGCGUUAUCCGGAUUUAUUGGGUUUAAAGGGAGCGCAGGCGGGAGUCUAAGCGUGACGUGAAAUGUAGCCGCUCAACGGCUGAACUGCGUCGCGAACUGGGUUUCUUGAGUGAGUACGACGUGCACGGAAUUCGUGGUGUAGCGGUGAAAUGCUUAGAUAUCACGAAGAACCCCGAUUGCGAAGGCAGUGCACGAGUCCUUAACUGACGCUAAAGCUCGAAGGUGCGGGUAUCGAACA
RNAcentral lists this ribosomal RNA (419 nucleotides) under uncultured Prevotella sp. RNAcentral describes it as "bacterial SSU rRNA". It matches the Rfam family "Bacterial small subunit ribosomal RNA", at positions 358 to 774 of the family's 1533-position model. Lineage: Bacteria; Pseudomonadati; Bacteroidota; Bacteroidia; Bacteroidales; Prevotellaceae. The record is from RNAcentral.